AUACCAGCACCCCGAGUGGUCGGGACGAUUAUUGGGCCUAAAGCAUCCGUAGCCGGUCCUGCAAGUCCUCCGUUAAAUCCACCCGCUCAACGGUUGGGCCGCGGGGGAUACUACAGGGCUAGGAGGCGGGAGAGGCAAGCGGUACUCGAUGGGUAGGGGUAAAAUCCACUGAUCCAUUGAAGACCACCAGUGGCGAAGGCGGCGUGCCAGAACGCGCUCGACGGUGAGGGAUGAAAGCUGGGGGAGCAAACCGGAUUAGAUACCCGGGUAGUCCCAGCUGUAAACGAUGCAGACUCGGUGAUGGGCUGGCUUCGUGCCAACCCGGUGCCGCAGGGAAGCCGUUAAGUCUGCCGCCUGGGGAGUACGGUCGCAAGACUGAAACUUAAAGGAAUUGACGGGG
Molecule: ribosomal RNA, 400 nt
Filed under: uncultured bacterium
Lineage: Bacteria
Description: partial 16S ribosomal RNA
Rfam family: Archaeal small subunit ribosomal RNA
Source: RNAcentral